CACACCCGUUCCCAUCCCGAACACGGAAGUUAAGCUUCUCAGCGCCGAUGGUAGUUGGGGGUUUCCCCCUGUGAGAGUAGGACGUUGCCGGGC
Molecule: ribosomal RNA, 93 nt
Filed under: Heyndrickxia ginsengihumi
Lineage: Bacteria; Bacillati; Bacillota; Bacilli; Caryophanales; Bacillaceae
Source: RNAcentral